This 800-nucleotide ribosomal RNA is filed under the name uncultured bacterium. RNAcentral describes it as "bacterial SSU rRNA". It matches the Rfam family "Bacterial small subunit ribosomal RNA", at positions 1 to 851 of the family's 1533-position model. The record is from RNAcentral.
UAGAGUUUGAUCCUGGCUCAGAGCGAACGCUGGCGGCAGGCUUAACACAUGCAAGUCGAGCGCGUGUAGCAAUACACGAGCGGCAGACGGGAGAGUAACACGUGGGAACAUGCCCUUCGGUUCGGAAUAACCCAGGGAAACUUGGGCUAAUACCGGAUACGUCCGUAAGGAGAAAGAUUUAUCGCCGAAGGAUUGGCCCGCGUCCGAUUAGCUAGUUGGUGAGGUAAUGGCUCACCAAGGCGACGAUCGGUAGCUGGUCUGAGAGGAUGAUCAGCCUCAUUGGGACUGAGACACGGCCCAAACUCCUACGGGAGGCAGCAGUGGGGAAUAUUGGACAAUGGGCGCAAGCCUGAUCCAGCCAUGCCGCGUGGGUGACGAAGGCCCUAGGGUUGUAAAGCCCUUUCGGCGGGGAAGAUAAUGACGGUACCCGCAGAAGAAGCCCCGGCUAACUUCGUGCCAGCAGCCGCGGUAAUACGAAGGGGGCUAGCGUUGCUCGGAAUCACUGGGCGUAAAGCGCACGUAGGCGGACUCUUAAGUCGGUGGUGAAACCCUGGAGCUUAACUCCAGAACUGCCUUCGAUACUGGGAGUCUUCGAGUCCGGGAGAGGUGAGUGGAACUGCGAGUGUAGAGGUGAAAUUCGUAGAUAUUCGCAAGAACACCAGUGGCGAAGGCGGCUCACUGGCCCGGUACUGACGCUGAGGUGCGAAAGCGUGGGGAGCAAACAGGAUUAGAUACCCAGGUAGUCCACGCCGUAAACGAUGGAUGCUAGCCGUUGGCGGGUUUACUCGUCAGUGGCGCAG